GAUGAACGCUGGCGGCGUGCCUAAUACAUGCAAGUCGAGCGACCACAUAAGGAGCUUUCUCCUUUGACGUUAGCGGCGGACGGGUGAGUAACACGUGGAUAACCUACCUCUAAUACUGGAAUAACUCCGGGAAACCGGUGCUAAUACCGCAUAAUAUUUAGUACCGCAUAGUUCUAAAGUGAAAGAUGGUUUUGCUAUCACUUAUAGAUGGACCCGCGCCGUAUUAGCUCGUUGGUAAGGUAACGGCUUACCAAGGCAACGAUCCGUAGCCGACCUGUGAGGGUGAUCGGCCACACUGGAACUGAGACACGGUCCAGACUCCUACGGGAGGCAGCAGUAGGGAAUCUUGCACAAUGGGCGAAAGCCUGACGGAGCAACGCCGCGUGAGUGAUGAAGGUCUUCGGAUCGUAAAGCUCUGUUGUUAGGAAAGAAAAAAAGUGUAAGAAACCGUGCAUGUUUUGACGGUACCUAAUGAGAAAGCCACGGCUAACUUCGUG
Molecule: ribosomal RNA, 497 nt
Filed under: uncultured bacterium
Lineage: Bacteria
Description: partial 16S ribosomal RNA
Rfam family: Bacterial small subunit ribosomal RNA
Source: RNAcentral